UACGGAGGGAGCUAGCGUUAUCCGGAAUCACUGGGCGUAAAGCGCACGUAGGCGGCUUUGUAAGUAAGAGGUGAAAGCCCAGAGCUCAACUCUGGAAUUGCCUUUUAGACUGCAUCGCUUGAAUCAUGGAGAGGUCAGUGGAAUUCCGAGUGUAGAGGUGAAAUUCGUAGAUAUUCGGAAGAACACCAGUGGCGAAGGCGGCUGACUGGACAUGUAUUGACGCUGAGGUGCGAAAGCGUGGGGAGCAAACAGG
Molecule: ribosomal RNA, 253 nt
Filed under: uncultured bacterium
Lineage: Bacteria
Description: partial 16S ribosomal RNA
Rfam family: Bacterial small subunit ribosomal RNA
Source: RNAcentral